AGUGAACGCUGGCGGUAGGCCUAACACAUGCAAGUCGAACGGCAGCACAGUAAGAGCUUGCUCUUACGGGUGGCGAGUGGCGGACGGGUGAGGAAUACAUCGGAAUCUACUUUUUCGUGGGGGAUAACGUAGGGAAACUUACGCCAAUACCGCAUACGACCUACGGGUGAAAGCAGGGGAUCUUCGGACCUUGCGCGAUUGAAUGAGCCGAUGUCGGAUUAGCUAGUUGGCGGGGUAAAGGCCCACCAAGGCGACGAUCCGUAGCUGGUCUGAGAGGAUGAUCAGCCACACUGGAACUGAGACACGGUCCAGACUCCUACGGGAGGCAGCAGUGGGGAAUAUUGGACAAUGGGCGCAAGCCUGAUCCAGCCAUACCGCGUGGGUGAAGAAGGCCUUCGGGUUGUAAAGCCCUUUUGUUGGGAAAGAAAAGCAGCAGGUUAAUACCCCGCUGUUCUGACGGUACCCAAAGAAUAAGCACCGGCUAACUUCGU
This 491-nucleotide ribosomal RNA is filed under the name uncultured bacterium. Its description in RNAcentral is "partial 16S ribosomal RNA". It matches the Rfam family "Bacterial small subunit ribosomal RNA", at positions 29 to 506 of the family's 1533-position model. The record is from RNAcentral.